AGAACGAACGCUGGCGGCAGGCCUCAAACAUGCAAGUCUAGGGGGUGUAGCAAUACAUCACCGGCGGACGGGUGCGUAACACGUGGGAAUAUACCUUUUGGUUCGGAACAACGCAGGGAAACUUGCGCUAAUACCGAAUGUGCCCUUACGGGGAAAGAUUUAUCGCCAAAGGAUUAGCCCGCGUAGGAUUAGCUAGUUGGUGAGGUAAUGGCUCACCAAGGCUCCGAUCCUUAGCUGUUCUGAGAGGAAGAUCAGCCACACUGGGACUGAGACACGGCCCAGACUCCUACGGGAGGCAGCAGUUGGGAAUCUUGGACAAUGGGGGAAACCCUGAUCCAGCCAUGCCGCGUGAGUGAUGAAGGCCUUCGGGUUGUAAAACUCUUUCGACGGGGACAUAAUGACGGUACCCGUAGAAGAGCUCCGGCUAACUUCGCGCCAGCAGCCGC
This 446-nucleotide ribosomal RNA is filed under the name uncultured bacterium. RNAcentral describes it as "SSU rRNA". It matches the Rfam family "Bacterial small subunit ribosomal RNA", at positions 26 to 518 of the family's 1533-position model. The record is from RNAcentral.